GAGAGCGAGCGAGCGAGCGAGCGAGAGACGGCGAGGAGGAGAGGAGAGGGGGGAGCCCCAUUGGCGGGGAGGCUGCUCGCCCCGGCCCAGCCCCGACGACGCGGCGGGUCCCCGGAGCGCCCCCUCCUCCGCGCCGCCUCGCCGUGCGCCUUGCAAAUGCGUCUACUUAACAAGAGUGACAUGUCAACUUGACUCUCACUGACUGUUCCAUCAUCAGUCAAGGAUUAAAGAAUGUGAUCAGGAGCACCAUGGAGGGUGCAGAUUACCAAUUGCCUUCUGCCAACUCAGCCAGUGUUGCCCUUCCUUCUCCUUCCUCGUCUUCCAGUGAUGAAGCUGACAUUAUGGCUUUCAAUGGGGAGCUGGACUUACAACAUUACUCUAAUGGGCCAGGGGGGGCAGGAGGGGAGGAUCGCCCUUAUCCAUGUCCUAUCUGUGGCAAGCGUUUCCGCUUCAACAGCAUUCUGGCAUUGCACACCCGUAUCCACACCAGCUCCUAUCCACUCACUUGUCCCUACUGUGGCCACCAGGCAGGGCAGCGUGCCAGUUUACGUCUCCAUUUGCGCUCCCAUUGUCCUGAGGCCCAAACCCGGCUCAGUCACCAGAGCCGCCUACUGCUUGAAUUGGAAGAGCGGGCACUUCUGCGGGGUCAAGAAGAGGAAAAGGAAGAGGAGGAGGAGGAGGAAGAAGAAAUGGCUGCUCCUAUUCUUCCCCAACCUCUACCCACAUUCCGCUGCUCUUUCUGCAAGGGCAAGUUUCGCACUGCAGGGGAACGCGAGCGCCACCUUCGCAUCCUCCAUCAGCCGUACAAGUGUGGGCAAUGUUCUUUUGCUGCCACACAGGAGUCAGAACUUCAGUGGCACAACCAACAGGCUCAUAACACACCAGCAGCUUGGACACCCACCCCUCCUGCCCCUGUGCCCACCACUACAGCUCCACCCACCCCUCCUGCUUCCACACCCACCCCUUCUUCCUCUGCCUCCACCCCUACGGAGUUCCGCUGCCAGGUCUGUGGUCAAGCCUUCACCCAGUCCUGGUUCCUUAAGGGUCACAUGCGGAAGCACAAAGACUCCUUUGACCAUAAGUGCCAGGUGUGUGGGCGUGGCUUCAAGGAACCAUGGUUCCUGAAAAACCACAUGAAGGUUCAUCUCAGUAAGCUGGGCCUCCAGAGUGAACAAAGAGGACCAGGACCGGGACGGUCAGCACAGAGUUUACUCGUGGGUUGUGAGGCCCUGUAUCCAUCUCUCCUCUCUCCUCGGCCAACAGAUAAAGCCAGUACAGGCACUUUCCUGGGUUAUAGUGAUGCAAGCUGUGCUGAACGACUGCAGGCCACAGCUCGCGCCGUGGAGAGUAGUCAGCAGUGGCGGGAACGUUCUUAUGUAGUAGGGUCCAAGCUUGUGAGAGAAGAUUCGGGAGGGAACCAUCGCUGCCCAGACUGUAACCGGACAUUUGGUACAUUCCAGCAGAUGGCCUUGCACCGGCAAAGCCACCUCUCCCGUGAGAGAGAAUGGAACAAGGGACAAUCACUGGGUUCUCACCUUCUCAGUGGACACUGGCUUCCAACAAAUGUGAGAGCUUCUACUGCAGCCAACAUCAGCUCAGCUCUGCUGACCCAGAAGGAAAAAGAAAUACAGAGUCAGUCACGCUUGGAUGGAUCCCGACGAGGCACCGGGAAAGAUUGUCCAUUCUGUGGAAAGUCCUUCAGAUCUUCCCACCAUCUCAAAGUUCACCUCCGUGUCCACACAGGUGAGCGCCCAUACAAGUGCCCUCACUGUGACUAUGCUGGCACUCAGUCUGGCUCGCUCAAAUAUCACCUGCAGCGCCACCACCGGGAGCAAAAGAAUGCUGCUGCAGCUGCUGCAGCAGCUGUAGCAACAAUGGAGCAGUGCCACAUGCCCCUGGCCCCUACUGCAGUCCCUGCCUUUCCCCCUACGCCACUCACCAAGAGUCAUGGGUCCUUCCUUCCUCUAGGUGGCAUGGGGGCAGCUCGGUCCCGCCAAUCCCGUCGCAAGUCACUGCUAAACGGGAAGGCUGAUUUCCAGCCAUUGGAUCUUUCUCUACGUCCAGCCCUGGCAGGAGGAGCCCUCCACCGUUGCCAGUUUUGCCCCUUUGCCACCUCAGCUCCUGAGCUUAUGGAGUUACACCUUCAAGUCCAUCACAGCAGGAAAGCUCGUACCCGCCGCUGCUCUCACACAGCUCCUAAAGCCCAGGUGAUGUUGGAGGAAGAAAUGGUUGAGCUGAAAGAACCAGAAUCCCCAAGCCCAAAGGGGGAGAUUUCCAAGACCCAGAGUUUCUGGUCCUCUGAAGAUCAGGAAGACUCUCGCCGUCUCAAGGUGCCUCAGGGGAAACCGAGUUCUGAGGGAGCAAUAAUUGGCAGCCUUUCUUCUGAAGCUGCACUGAAUCAGCAAGAAUGGGAGAAACUAUCACAAGACUCCGAGGAGCCAAAGCCAGAGAAGGAAUUGUCUGGUGCACUGUCCCCAAAAGCACCACGUCAGGAGGCUUCAGAGACAGGCCAAGAUCUCAUGGAAUUACAGUUGGAGCCGCAGCAAGACAAACAUAGCAAGAUACAGGGAUUACCUGCCAAGCAGCUAAAUAACAGCACAAGAGCUCCAGGAGGGAAAAAAAAGACAAAACUACAACAUAACCAAGUACUGACCCUGGAAGGCAAAAGCUGUAGCUGCAGUGGAGCACUGGUUAAAGGCCAGAGAAAACAUGGCAAGGAGAUUCAAUUCAUGCCUUGAGUUGAUGGGGGAAAUUGCAGUUCAUCUGAAUGGGAUUAUAAUCCUCUGCUUGAUCAAGAAAGCUGUUUGCUGGGGGCUCCCAGUUGCAAAAACAAAAUAUCCCAAUGGACACCCUGCAGAAACUCCCCGUCAACAUGAAGAAGACGUGUUUAAAGGAUAUGCUGCUGGUACUGGUUUCCCUGUCUCCUCUCCAUGCACUGGAUAUUUGAAAGGGCUGCUGUAGCAGUUCUAUUUAGUCAAACAGGGUUUGGAGGUGAAAUUAGGAUACUUCACGUGGCCGGAGGAGAACUCGGGAGCCAAGAUCCCGGGAGAAUUAGGUAAGCCUAGGGAAAUGUUUUUUGGCUGGAUCCUGAUAUAUCUUAGCUUGCAUUUUGGAUUUUGUGGUGGGAACGACAGAAUUUCUGCAGGAUAAAGAUGAAACAACUACUCGGAUCCAGCGCGCAAGAGGUUCUUAGAUUUGAGCGUGGGAUUAUUCUUAGUCUCCAAAAUUGCCGCGCCGCUACCAGUCUUGGGCUGGCAAGCGCCGGAAAAGGCAGGGGCACAUUUAAGGAGGCGGAGGGGUCCUUAUUACUUCUUUUCCGCUUCUGAUCCAAUACAGCCUACAGUAUCGAGUUUUAGAAUGAACCAGAGACCAAAAGAACUUAGCACAAAUUAGUCCAAAAAUAGUUGGCGGGCGUUUUCUCGAACUUACAUGUAAAGGUUUAAUACAUGUAAAGGUGGCUUAUCCAUAAUUAUUAAAUAUUUUAUAGCAACUUCCCAGUCGCACCAAGGCUGCUGACAAGAAACAUUCUUAAGGUGGAACUGAAAAUGCAAAACGACGAAGAACAAAAUGCAAAACCUCAGCACAAGAUUUCGCAAAUAGUAGUAACACGUGUAAAUUAUAAACGAACAUCCAUUACUUUUAAAAGAUUGAUAUGAUUAUAAUGGCAGGUAGUUACAAAGGAUAAAACUAACUUUAGAAUAAUUAGAAAUAUGUUUGGCUUGCUUUUGUUGAAGACCUUUGGGUUCUAUCUCUUAAGUAUGGUGUGCCUUUAACUUUAUUUAAAACUUAUUUUAACAGUGUCUUGAUAAAAGACUAUUUUCUUGUGUUUACAUUAAUGAAGCAUCUCUUCCCCCGCAGAUUAUUCUAGAAGCUUAUAUAAUUAUUUCUCAAAUAAUAUUAAGGUAAAACUAGGGAGAUACUUCUGUUCCCAACUCAUAUUUUUCCCCUAUUUGUAGAAAAGGAUAGUAGAUAAUAAAUAUUUACACAUUUAAAUAUUUAUUCAAACAUUUAAAUUCAAACAUUUCAAAUUUAAGAAUGGUUUAUAUUAUGGUAUCAGCAAGGCAGCAAAACAAAUGUUAAAAGAUACAUUAUGUUAUUCAUCUGCUAAGGACUUCUGUCUUGCAAAGUUGACCCACUUUGGUUCACUCUCUAGAAAAGGAAUCACAUCAAGUCAGUGUUGGGUUUUCUCCAUGAUGAUCUAUGAUCUAUCCCUUACUUGAUUCUUCAGGUCUUCCAAUAUGGCAUCCAUUUCUGCUGUAACUUAGUCCAUCCACUUAGCUGUUGGAUCAUUCUUUUUCCUUCUACUUUUCCUACCAUUAGACCCUUCUCCAGAUAGCUAGCUCUUCACUUAGUCUAUCCAAAGUCUGAUGAUCUGAGACUGGUUAUUCAUGCUCCAAGUAAGAAUUUUGGAUUGAUUUGUUUGAUACAUUUGUUGAGGUUUUUUUUUUCUGUCCACAGUACUCUGAGGAGUUUUCUCCAACAAAGUGUUCAUUCUCCAAUUUGUCCCAAAGGAGCUUUUUCAAGAGACAAUUGGAUUUCCUUUGUUUUUUCUUGAAUACUUUCGC
RNA transcript from Thamnophis elegans (Western terrestrial garter snake), 4565 nucleotides. It is a transcript of the gene named zinc finger protein 219, with no coding region annotated. The transcript has 7 exons. NCBI's taxonomy places the organism in Eukaryota, Metazoa, Chordata, Lepidosauria, Squamata, Natricidae. The record is from RefSeq and is a predicted model, not a curated record.